RNAcentral lists this unclassified non-coding RNA (750 nucleotides) under uncultured Synechococcus sp. RNAcentral describes it as "partial contains 16S ribosomal RNA and 16S-23S ribosomal RNA intergenic spacer". The stretch from base 1 to 262 matches the Rfam family "Bacterial small subunit ribosomal RNA", at positions 1273 to 1533 of the family's 1533-position model. Lineage: Bacteria; Bacillati; Cyanobacteriota; Cyanophyceae; Synechococcales; Synechococcaceae. The record is from RNAcentral.
CCCAUAAACCGUGGCUCAGUUCAGAUCGUAGGCUGCAACUCGCCUACGUGAAGGCGGAAUCGCUAGUAAUCGCAGGUCAGCAUACUGCGGUGAAUACGUUCCCGGGCCUUGUACACACCGCCCGUCACACCAUGGAAGUUGGCCACGCCCGAAGCCGUCACUCCAACCCUUGUGGAGGAGGACGUCGAAGGUGGGGCUGAUGACUGGGGUGAAGUCGUAACAAGGUAUCCGUACCGGAAGGUGCGGAUGGAUCACCUCCUAACAGGGAGACAACACAAUGAUUUUGAUGCCUGAGUGCUUUUAUUCUUAGGCCGAAAUCCUGUCACCUUAGGUCGAUCGGUACCUCAGCUUUGAAGUUAAGGAUCAGCAGCAAUGUUGAUUGCUUGAUGGAGAUUUUCAGUUCCUAAACUUUGUCUAGGUCACACCCCAAAAGGGAUGAGACUCCUGGGCCAUUAGCUCAGGUGGUUAGAGCGCACCCCUGAUAAGGGUGAGGUCCCUGGUUCAAGUCCAGGAUGGCCCAUUCGGUGUUGGGGGUUUAGCUCAGUUGGUAGAGCGCCUGCUUUGCAAGCAGGAUGUCAGGAGUUCGAGUCUCCUAACCUCCACUGACCGAACUUGAUUCCCAUCUCCAAUUUUUUGGAGUUGAGCUCGAUUGGAGUGUGAUUUAGAUGUGUCCGCUGGAUGACCCCAGCUUCCUGUCAUUCCAAGUUUUAGGUUGAUGCCUUGAAUUUGGUUGAUAAGAUGCUGGGCUCG